UAGCUAGUUGGUGAGGUAACGGCUCACCAAGGCGACGAUGNGUAGCCGACCUGAGAGGGUGAUCGGCCACACUGGGNAUGAGACACGGCCCAGACUCUACGGGAGGCAGCAGUAGGGAAUCUUCCGCAAUGGACGAAAGUCUGACGGAGCAACGCCGCGUGAGUGAUGAAGGUNUUCGGAUCGUAAAGCUCUGUUGUUAGGGAAGAACAAGUGCAAGAGUAACUGCUUGCACCUUGACGGUACCUAACCAGAAAGCCACGGCUAACUACGUGCCAGCAGCCGCGGUAAUACGUAGGUGGCAAGCGUUGUCCGGAAUUAUUGGGCGUAAAGGGCUCGCAGGCGGUUUCUUAAGUCUGAUGUGAAAGCCCCCGGCUCAACCGGGGAGGGUCAUUGGAAACUGGGAAACUUGAGUGCAGAAGAGGAGAGUGGAAUUCCACGUGUAGCGGUGAAAUGCGUAGAGAUGUGGAGGAACACCAGUGGCGAAGGCGACUCUCUGGUCUGUAACUGACGCUGAGGAGCGAAAGCGUGGGGAGCGAACAGGAUUAGAUACCCUGGUAGUCCACGCCGUAAACGAUGAGUGCUAAGUGUUAGGGGGUUUCCGCCCCUUAGUGCUGCAGCUAACGCAUUAAGCACUCCGCCUGGGGAGUACGGUCGCAAGACUGAAACUCAAAGGAAUUGACGGGGGCCCGCACAAGCGGUGGAGCAUGUGGUUUAAUUCGAAGCAACGCGAAGAACCUUACCAGGUCUUGACAUCCUCUGACAACCCUAGAGAUAGGGCUUUCCCUUCGGGGACAGAGUGA
Molecule: ribosomal RNA, 800 nt
Filed under: Bacillus aerius
Lineage: Bacteria; Bacillati; Bacillota; Bacilli; Caryophanales; Bacillaceae
Description: bacterial SSU rRNA
Rfam family: Bacterial small subunit ribosomal RNA
Source: RNAcentral